RNAcentral lists this transfer RNA (71 nucleotides) under Loxodonta africana (African savanna elephant). It matches the Rfam family "tRNA". Rfam says of the family: Transfer RNA (tRNA) molecules are approximately 80 nucleotides in length. Their secondary structure includes four short double-helical elements and three loops (D, anti-codon, and T loops). The record is from Rfam by way of RNAcentral. Lineage: Eukaryota; Metazoa; Chordata; Mammalia; Proboscidea; Elephantidae.
ACAUUGGUGGUUCAGUGGUAGAAUCCUAACCUUCCAUGUGGGAGACCGGGGAUCUAUAUCCAGCCAAUGUA